Molecule: long non-coding RNA, 762 nt
Organism: Oxyura jamaicensis (ruddy duck)
Lineage: Eukaryota; Metazoa; Chordata; Aves; Anseriformes; Anatidae
Exons: 4
Source: RefSeq, a predicted model, not a curated record
GAGCCUUCUGGACUUAAUAAAAAGAUUCCCUCUUCUUCCCCAAAAUGUUUUGGAUUAACCCAUCAACAUUUCUGGACUGAUGAAAUGAUGGGAUCCCUGCAGGCACCAGGCUUCAGGAAGGGAGACUUCGAUCUCUGCUGCCGUUUUUAAGAGGCUUUUAAAAAUCCCUGGAAAAGCCUUUAGGAGCACCUCAGGAAUUUUACCCUGACUUGUUUAACUUCUGUAUCGUCGUUCAGCACACAGAUCGGAGCGAGAGCUUUUGCGGGAUUUCUGUCUGAAGCUGGACUGAAAGGAAAAGAAAAGUUAUCUGUGCAGGCUGGCACUUCUGGCUGGAAGGAAUAUGUUUUCCCAUAUAUUCUGUUCAGUGUUGUCCAUACAAAAAAAGUUGGAGUACAGAGGCUGUGUUUCCUAUAAGAAUGGCACUGACUUAAAAAGAUUUACACCAACAUUCAGGAGGUGCUUCUUGGAAUCCACUGUCUGGUUAGGAGGAGAAUCAGUCCUGUUUGCCAAUAUAAGUGUGAGGUUUGAAAAUCCUGUUCAUUUGAAGCUAGACUCAUAUGCCAAGAGUGAGAGUUACCUUUCGGUAUCACAUGUUUUAUCUCUAAAUGAGAACACGAUGACACCAGCAAAGCCAUCAGCAUUGAAGCCAAAUAAUUAGAAGUGAAAUAAAUAUUGUGAGUAACCUUCAGCUCUAUCACUACAUGAUAAUGAUCACUGCAAAUAUCUAACCAUCAUUACAACUUGGGAUCCCACCUAAAUGUA